CCCUCUCUCUGUCCCUCUCUCUCUCUCUCUCUGUCUCUCUCUCUGUCCCUCUCUCUCUCUCUCUCUGUCUCUCUCUCUGUCUCUCUCUCUCUCCCUCUCUGUCCUCUCUCUGUCUCUCUCUCUCUCUCUCUCUGUCUCUCUCUCUGUCUCUCUCUCUCUCUCUCUCUCUCAUAAAUCAGUGUGUCUAGUCUCAGUAGUCGCCACUGGCUGCUCAGUUCCGGCAUGUCCUUAUCGAUUGAUCUUGUCUAAUUGAUCCAGCACUAAUGCUCUGAUCCCCACUGCCAGGCCAGCUGGCCGAUGCCAGAGUCAUCCAUCCACCCGCUUAUCUAGUCAGACUAGGUCAUCAUAACUAAGGGGGGGCUCUCCCUAUGUAGUGCUCAUCUCUAUUCCAUAUAUAGUGCUCAUCUCUAUUCCAUAUAUAGUGCUCAUCUCUAUUCCAUAUAUAGUGCUCAUCUCUAUUCCAUAUAUAGUGCACAUCUCUAUUCCAUAUAUAGUGCUCAUCUCUAUUCCAUAUAUAGUGCACAUCUCUAUUCCAUAUAUAGUGCUCAUCUCUAUUCCAUAUCCACCGAACUCAGCAUUUCCAACUAUUUUAUAUUUUAAGCAGAGAUUCUCAGAUAAAGAGAUUCUUAUUUCUCUCUCUCUUCCUCUCUCUUUCUUUUUCUCCUCUCUCUCAUUUCUCUCUUCAUAUGCCUACAUCUGUCAUCUCGCUGCUCUCUAUCAUCUCUCUUUCUCUUCUAUAUUUCCCUGUAAUCCAAAUCCAAUUCAGGUCAAGUCUAGAGGCCUCCUUGGCAGAACAAGUGAGAAUCUUUCUUCUCCACCUUCAACCCCUACAUCUUCCAUCUAUCUCUCUCUUCCUCUCUUCUGUCUAUCUCCCUCUCUCUCUCUCUCUGUCUCUCUCUUCUGUCUUUGUCUCUCUCUUCUCUCUUUGUCUCUCUCUCUCUCUGUCUCUCUCUUCUGUCUAUCUCCCUCUUUCUCUCUACACACUUCCUCUCUGGUAACCCUAGAAAUCUCUGAGGGUCCCUCUCUCUUGUCGUUUACCUCCCUCUCUCAUUCCCAUUGCCCUUGACGACAACACUGGUCACCGCUGAGUAAGAGUUAGUGUUGUUGUAGAUGUGGACUUGGUGACUCCCCGUCCACACUACCCUGGCCGCGGGUCGUUGCUGAGUGUACCAACAUUCCUUGCAGUGAUUUGCUCCGCCUCGUCCAAGUCACUAAACAACCACUUGGCGUAACCGUGGCGACUGCCGUACUGUCGCUGGGUGGUAACCAUUGUCUUGGCGAUGGAAACAGAAGAAGAAGAUAACCCCAUGUCGAGGGAGUUGCUACGUUUGGCGCGCACAAUGCUGUGGGAGGGUCUUAGCGGGAGCUCCCGGGCUCUGAUAGGCCUGAGAAUAGUUCCAUUUAUCUCAGAGUCAGCCCACUACACCACUGUGUCUCAUCCUCCAAUCAGAAAGGAGAUCCUGUCCCAGGGGCCCAUCCAGGGUGAAGCUUGCCCAUUUGGCCCCACCAAUUGUUACUACAUCUGGGCGGAGCCUAGCCCUCCCACAUCAUGAUUGGCGGGGGAGGGUUGAGGGGGCGGAGCUUAUGACAGGAGAGUUGUAGAGAGAGACUGUUUCGGGAGUGUAGGGAGGAAGGUGUCUCUCACUGCUAGCGUCAUGUCCCCCUGCCCUCCCCUCUUCUCUCCCUCCCUUUCCUCCCUC
Molecule: long non-coding RNA, 1700 nt
Organism: Oncorhynchus tshawytscha (Chinook salmon)
Lineage: Eukaryota; Metazoa; Chordata; Actinopteri; Salmoniformes; Salmonidae
Source: Ensembl